GAUGAACGCUGACAGAAUGCUUAACACAUGCAAGUCUACCAAGAAUCACUUCGGUGAGGAAUGGUGGCGGACGGGUGAGUAACGCGUAAAUAAUCUGCCCUUUAGACUGGGAUAUCCUUUGGAAACGAAGGUUAAUACCGGAUAUUAUGAGAUGGACGCAUGUUCAACUUAUGAAAGCUAAAUGCACUAGAGGAGGAGUUUGCGUCCCAUUAGCUAGUUGGUGAGGUAAAGGCUCACCAAGGCCACGAUGGGUAGCCGGCCUGAGAGGGUGAACGGAGACAAGGGAACUGAGACCUGGUCCCUACUCCUAGGGGAGGCAGCAGUAGGGAAUAUUGGACAAUGGACCAAAAGUCUGAUCCAGCAAUUCUGUGUGCACGAUGAAGGUCUUCGGAUUGUAAAGUGCUUUCAGUAGGGAAGAAAAAAAUGACGGUACCUACAGAAGAAGCGACGGCUAAAUAUGUGCCAGCCGCCGCCGUAA
This 478-nucleotide ribosomal RNA is filed under the name uncultured bacterium. Its description in RNAcentral is "partial 16S ribosomal RNA". It matches the Rfam family "Bacterial small subunit ribosomal RNA", at positions 28 to 523 of the family's 1533-position model. The record is from RNAcentral.